GCCUACGGGACGCAGCAGUGGGGAAUAUUGCACAAUGGGCGAAAGCCUGAUGCAGCGACGCCGCGUGAGGGAUGGAGGCCUUCGGGUUGUAAACCUCUUUCGCUCAUGGUCAAGCCGCAGCUUUGGGUUGUGGUGAGGGUAGUGGGUAAAGAAGCGCCGGCUAACUACGUGCCAGCAGCCGCGGUAAUACGUAGGGCGCGAGCGUUGUCCGGAAUUAUUGGGCGUAAAGGGCUUGUAGGCGGUUGGUCGCGUCUGCCGUGAAAUCCUCUGGCUUAACUGGGGGCGUGCGGUGGGUACGGGCUGUC
This 305-nucleotide ribosomal RNA is filed under the name uncultured bacterium. RNAcentral's name for it is "bacterial SSU rRNA". It matches the Rfam family "Bacterial small subunit ribosomal RNA", at positions 337 to 641 of the family's 1533-position model. The record is from RNAcentral.